Molecule: long non-coding RNA, 773 nt
Organism: Mus musculus (house mouse)
Lineage: Eukaryota; Metazoa; Chordata; Mammalia; Rodentia; Muridae
Product: predicted gene, 36360
Exons: 3
Source: RefSeq, a predicted model, not a curated record
UGUGUGUGUGUGUGUGUGUGUGUGUGUGUGUGUGUUGGUCAGAGGACAACUAACUGAACCAGUUCUCUCUUUUUACUAUAUAGAUUCUGGGGAUUGAACUUAGGCCUUGAGCCUUGGUGGCAAAUAUACGUAGCCCUGAGCCAUCUUGUCAGCCCACAGAAAAUAUUUGAGUUCUACUAUAAUUGGAAAAUAGAUAUUCAUCUAGAGCUUUCUAGUGUUGGACCUUCCAGGAGUCAUCUGUUGCAGCCCAGAAUUUGCCUGGGGCCUCUUACUGAAAUAAUUGGUACAGCACUUCCUAUUCCACUGGGGACAAGAAGUUAUGUUCUACUGAGGGUUCAAUAGAAGUGUCCCUUCUGGCUAUCUGCUGAAUGAAUGUCCUUCGUCAUCUUCCCUCCUUGGAACUAUUAUUCUGAUAGCUCAUUGCAACUCUUCCAUUAAAUUCCAAGGAGCUGUACAUCUAAUAUUUCCUAGGACAGAGUCCAACGCUCACCAGGAAAAUGAACAGCACUCCUUCAACUUCAGUUUGUGUGUGUAACAUUGACACACCAAGAUGGAUGAAUUCCCCUGAGCUGAGACGGAGCCUUGCCAUCACAGAGUCAUUAGAGACUGCCUGCCACUCUGGGAGCUUUCCCAGCCUGAAGCAUUGUGUCAUUAUUAAGAAUCUCACCAAGGAUGAAGAGUUGGACUCUCUGUGGUUUGGAGGGGGCUUGUUACCCACGAGGACUUGUGUUGGUCUGCAACAUGACCAUAAUAAAACAUUGUGGAGUCUCUAA